Molecule: ribosomal RNA, 492 nt
Filed under: uncultured bacterium
Lineage: Bacteria
Description: partial 16S ribosomal RNA
Rfam family: Bacterial small subunit ribosomal RNA
Source: RNAcentral
AGUGAACGCUGGCGGUAGGCCUAACACAUGCAGGUCGAACGGCAGCACAGUAAGAGCUUGCUCUUACGGGUGGCGAGUGGCGGACGGGUGAGGAAUACAUCGGAAUCUACUUUUUCGUGGGGGAUAACGUAGGGAAACUUACGCUAAUACCGCAUACGACCUACGGGUGAAAGCAGGGGAUCUUCGGACCUUGCGCGAUUGAAUGAGCCGAUGUCGGAUUAGCUAGUUGGCGGGGUAAAGGCCCACCAAGGCGACGAUCCGUAGCUAGUCUGAGAGGAUGAUCAGCCACACUGGAACUGAGACACGGUCCAGACUCCUACGGGAGGCAGCAGUGGGGAAUAUUGGACAAUGGGCGCAAGCCUGAUCCAGCCAUACCGCGUGGGUGAAGAAGGCCUUCGGGUUGUAAAGCCCUUUUGUUGGGAAAGAAAAGCAGCAGGUUAAUACCCCGCUGUUCUGACGGUACCCAAAGAAUAAGCACCGGCUAACUUCGUG